AUAUUUCUCUAAUUCUUCGUCAAUUUAUCCUUUUCUGCACCCAUUGUAUAAAAAAAAUUUAAUCAACGUGUGGUUCCUUUGAUCUCAGUACCUCAUUGGUUAAAAUCCGAUUAUGACGUCGAAUUUUCUUGCUUUCCUCUGAAUUUCCUAUUGUGACGGGAUGAAAAAAGGCGACCAUGCCUGAUGACGUCACAUAGAAAGAACACAUCUUUUUGCAGAUCAUUCGAAAAGAAGGAAUAAGUUUGCCUACAUAAUGUUAGAAAAUCAUUAGAGAAACAGAUUUCACCACCAA
RNAcentral lists this long non-coding RNA (292 nucleotides) under Mytilus galloprovincialis (Mediterranean mussel). Lineage: Eukaryota; Metazoa; Mollusca; Bivalvia; Mytilida; Mytilidae. The record is from RNAcentral.